This 216-nucleotide unclassified non-coding RNA is filed under the name Hevea brasiliensis (rubber tree). Lineage: Eukaryota; Viridiplantae; Streptophyta; Magnoliopsida; Malpighiales; Euphorbiaceae. The record is from RNAcentral.
CUCCUGAAAAGUCGCCUCACCUACUCAGUGCUAUAAAAAUCCAAGUGCAGAUAGUUGGAAUUGGAAGACCCAGGUCCAGACAACCAAUGCUGCAAGACAGUUAACGGCUGUCGGAUAGGGCAUCGCGGAUCCUGGGGAGAUAGAAUGAAUGAAAGUCAGUCACAAGCGGGAAAGCCUGACCAAGUCCGACUAGCAAAAUAGUAGAGAAACAGGAGG